RNAcentral lists this small RNA (293 nucleotides) under Drosophila mojavensis. RNAcentral's name for it is "GI25931". The record is from RNAcentral. Lineage: Eukaryota; Metazoa; Arthropoda; Insecta; Diptera; Drosophilidae.
CACUCAAGAAUAUCGCUAUACGAGUAUAAGCUCAACCUAAUUUGAUAUUCUACAUAGUUGAAGAAGACUAAAUCUCAAACAUGAAGCUCGCACUGAUUCUUGUGGCCGCUUUAGCAGUCGCUUCACGACCACCUCAUCCGUGGCAAGUCCCUGGCAGCGGUUAGGUCAGCACGGACUCAUUCCCAAAAGUUUUCCGAUAAUAAAAGGGUCAAGUACAGAGAUGUCAUUGGUCGAACACAGCUUCUAUAUUAGCUACAUCAGUUAGGAUGAAUUUAUGUGUAUCUCUCAAAGAU